Long non-coding RNA from Pistacia vera, 303 nucleotides. RefSeq lists it as uncharacterized. Lineage: Eukaryota; Viridiplantae; Streptophyta; Magnoliopsida; Sapindales; Anacardiaceae. The transcript has 3 exons. The record is from RefSeq and is a predicted model, not a curated record.
GUUUUAAAAUCAAUGGAGAGCUACAGCUCUUGAUCUCUCUUCUCUUCCGUCAAUUCCGACAACGAAAAGCAGACAGUUCCUGAGAUAUUGAAUUGGACGGGGAUUUCACUUGUUAUAGUGGUUGGAUUAAUCGUGUACUCGUCUUGGGUAUAAUUUUCUUAUUAGAUGGAGAAGAUUUCGACUAGAAGCAAAGUUUCUGUUUGACUUAAUGAGUGAAGCAAAGGAGCUUGAGAUAGAGGAAAGAAAGGCGUCAAUUUGAAAGUUAUAGAGCGUCGUCCAUUAUGCAAGCUACCGAUAACUUCU